This is a long non-coding RNA of Caretta caretta (loggerhead turtle), 461 nucleotides long. RefSeq lists it as uncharacterized. Lineage: Eukaryota; Metazoa; Chordata; Testudines; Cheloniidae. The record is from RefSeq and is a predicted model, not a curated record.
ACUCCCCUCCUUCCUCUAGUCACACUGACUUUUCAGCUUCUGCUGCAGAGGAAUCUGGUGUCAUGGAAGAAACAUCCUUGACCGCCAUCCCAGAAGACUUCUCAGAGACAGUAUGUAGACAGUGGCGAAUGCUUGACCAAUGGGGGUGGACCCCAAUGUCAGAUGCAUAGAUCUUUCCAGCAAGCUGGAAGAAACUCUGAGAGGGGAAGUGACAUCAUGACUGGGCCUCACUCCCUGCACAACUCAAUACCUGGAAGAAACGUCUGGAGGACAAAGACUUUGAACUGGGCAGUGUGGUCCCAAGCUGGAAAGGAGUCUUAGCCUGUAUAUUGAGGAACUAUACCAUCUGUCAGGACAGGCUGGAGCCUACAACUAGGACUGCCUGGGGUGUAAUCAAAGAGACCCUGCCCCACCCUACAGCUGGGAUAUAUAAACGCAAAGAGGAAGCUAAAGACAAGGGA